GGAUUAGAUACCCUGGUAGUCCACACGGUAAACGAUGAAUACUCGCUGUUUGCGAUAUACGGCAAGCGGCCAAGCGAAAGCGUUAAGUAUUCCACCUGGGGAGUACGCCGGCAACGGUGAAACUCAAAGGAAUUGACGGGGGCCCGCACAAGCGGAGGAACAUGUGGUUUAAUUCGAUGAUACGCGAGGAACCUUACCCGGGCUUAAAUUGCACUCGAAUGAUCCGGAAACGGUUCAGCUAGCAAUAGCGAGUGUGAAGGUGCUGCAUGGUUGUCGUCAGCUCGUGCCGUGAGGUGUCGGCUUAAGUGCCAUAACGAGCGCAACCCUUGUUGUCAGUUACUAACAGGUGAUGCUGAGGACUCUGACAAGACUGCCAUCGUAAGAUGUGAGGAAGGUGGGGAUGACGUCAAAUCAGCACGGCCCUUACGUCCGGGGCUACACACGUGUUACAAUGGGGGGUACAGAGGGCCGCUACCACGCGAGUGGAUGCCAAUCCCUAAAACCCCUCUCAGUUCGGACUGGAGUCUGCAACCCGACUCCACGAAGCUGGAUUCGCUAGUAAUCGCGCAUCAGCCACGGCGCGGUGAAUACGUUCCCGGGCCUUGUACACACCGCCCGUCAAGCCAUGGGAGCCGGGGGUACCUGAAGUGCGUAACCGCGAGGAUCGCCCUAGGGUAAAACUGGUGACUGGGGCUAAGUCGUAACAAGGUAAC
This 713-nucleotide ribosomal RNA is filed under the name uncultured Bacteroides sp. RNAcentral describes it as "bacterial SSU rRNA". It matches the Rfam family "Bacterial small subunit ribosomal RNA", at positions 775 to 1500 of the family's 1533-position model. The record is from RNAcentral. Lineage: Bacteria; Pseudomonadati; Bacteroidota; Bacteroidia; Bacteroidales; Bacteroidaceae.